UUAUGGCAAAGCAGUCGAAAGGCUGUGACGCAAAGCUAUAGGGGCUAUCCGGAAAGCCAGCCAGUUGC
Molecule: non-coding RNA, 68 nt
Filed under: human gut metagenome
Description: Cyclic di-GMP-I riboswitch
Rfam family: c-di-GMP-I riboswitch aptamer
About the family: GEMM was predicted in a large-scale screen for bacterial structured RNA regulatory elements. Genes associated with GEMM are involved in a diverse array of functions, including chemotaxis regulation, signal transduction, secretion and chitin.
Source: RNAcentral